GCAGACGUGACCUCUCCAGAUAAACUGACACGGUUAGCUGGUCGUGGGACUAACUUGCUGGGAAAAAAACCUUCCCACCUCCUCAUUCAGGCGAUGGGAGCCGUUCGAGAUUCGACGGUGAAUACUUCAUGGUGAGCGGCGGCUGCUGGGCUCGAGGGUGCGGUGGUUGACGGGCAGGCAAGCGCGGGCUGCGUGGUGAGCGGCGCCUCGCAUCAAUGUUGGCGGCGCUGCCGAUUCAAGGGGGCGGCGAGCGGCGGUGCUGUGGUGGGUGACCGUGGCUUGUGUGCCUCCCUUUGCCAACACCGACAACAUUUUCGCUAGAUCUGGCUUUAAUUUGGUUGGAUGUGUACAGGUGAAGAGAGCACUGGCGGAGUUUUUGCGGAGGCUGCAGACUGGACAGAUCACGACUGUACGUCCUGCCCGAAGAGGUAAUCCGAUUCUUGUUUGUCUUAGGAAAAAUUUCAGAUUCUUGUUUGUUUUCUAUCUCCAAAUAGUUUGGGCGAAUGUAUUUUUAGCCUGGGAAUUUUCUCUCUGCUGUCUGUUCCAGUCCAUCAGUCCAUGUUGAGAUCAAUCAUUGAGAUGGAGCAGCGCUUGUGUAGAAUUUUUUUGCUCUGUGAUUGGAAGCAUCAAAUGCUCCGUAAUGGCUAAGAUUUUGUCACGUAGAAGUAAGGUGAUGUAGGGAGAUUAUUUGGUUUGUUGUUUAAAGUGCUUAAGCUCUGGGUCCAUGAUGAAGAUUUGUAGUUUUGUUUUAGUCAGCUAGGCCUAGGGUAAACCAUUCAACUUUUUACAUGUUUCGAAUUUAAUUAACAAUAUUGGUUUGAAUGGGUUUGGAGUUUAGGCUCAUUGUUUCAGGAAAUGCACAUAUGAGGAAUUGAUUUUAGUUAGCUUUUCUGUGGAUAUUAGUAUGUAUUUUUCUUAGGACCACUCUAAUUUUUGCAAUAAGAUGGGGGUUCGCAGUAUAGUGUCGUUGGUGUUCAUCGGCGUCAGGUUACGGUGGCCAUUGGCAUGCUUCUUGAUGCAGUCUGCAUCUCCUCCCACCACGAUGGUCGGCAACCAUGUCUUCACCGCCGGAGCCCCUCUCCAUCGAUUUAGAUGAGUGUAUGUCAAUUUAUUCUCCCAUGGCAAGUACUUGCUCCAAUUUGGUUACAUUUAGUACGGAAUUUAGUUAUCUGAAUUUACAUAUAUUACGUCCCCAUAUAUGCAGAGGCGAAUCAUUGUGUUUUCGGCUUUGAUCUUAGUCCCAAAUUUAUUUGUUUUGGCCAUAUCUAUGCUACAAGCUUAGUACUUGUUUCGAGCCGAGGCGUACGAUGCUGCCCACCUAUCCCUUUCCAUACACGACCAUCAGCGACACCGUCGACUAUGACGGUGGAUGCUUUGUUCUCUUGUAAGGAUACCUGCAUCCUCCUCCUCUUCCUCUUCCUUGUACGGAAAUCUAGGUUUAUGAGAUUUCAUUCCAUCUCUGCCAGAUUCUCCUCCUCUCAGUUCUUGUGUUGUGUUAUGUUAUGUUAGGUGAUUUAAAAAUUGAGGAAAGGACCUUCACUAUGUAGUAGUAAUGUGCAUCUGUUGAAGCUUACUGGCGCAACCUAUUCACAUAUGUGCACUGUAGCUUUUCAAGCUAAAGUUGUCUACACAAGUAUGGAAAGGACCUUCACUAUGUUGCGUGGUUUUCUUCAUGACUGUUACUGGUACAUAAAUGAAUAAACACCUAUUUUCUAUAAAAGCUUAAUAAUUGCCAGUUGCAAUGUCAACCAGAAAAUGCAUCAUAAUCUUACAUGCUUGGUAUUCAGAAAUAAUCAGUCUUGCUUAAAAAUCAGUAAAUAUGAAAAAGAAACAAGGUUAAAGGCGGAAGAUCCCUCCUUCAACUUUAUGUUAUUAUGGAGAAGCGAGUUCUAUUUGUGUGCAUUGUACCAUGGGAGAGUUCUCAAAAUCAGUAAAUAUGCCCAUCUGCUUGCCUAUAAAAUAUUUGUUCACAUCACGUCUGUUUUGUGGUUUCCUGAGGUUGCUUUCUUGGAACACGGCGCUGUUAUUAUGUUUUAUGUUGCAGUGUUAUUCAUUAUCUUUAUUUUGUUGUGGAUGACAGUACACCCUGUUUCUCAAAAGCUGAAUCUCAUCUUCUCUGUCCAACUGAAUUUUAUUAUUGAACAUUCGCAUUGUCCCUGAACGUCCCAACUAGAAUGAGGGAAAAGGUAAAACUGUAGCAUCUUCUUUCAUGUAUAACUUUGUAAUUAUUUAUUUCAUCUUAGUUUGUACUUUCUAAAUAUUAUAUAGCUGAUUCUCAGUAUAUUCCCCACAUGAUGUCGUGUUGAACAAAGGGUUCAGAAUGGAAACUAAGUUUCUUCAAGUACGAGCAUGGGUUUCAUGUAAGCAACCGGCUUCGGUGUUCCUUUCUAUAAAUCAUGAAAAGGCAACUUUAGCAUUUUUGGCAUGUAGCACCGUCUACAGUAAAAAUCUAUCAACAGCGACCAAGGCGAGGUGUAGAACGGGACUAAGCGUACUUGGUCGAGCAUCCUCUACCAUCGCUGAAAUUGAAGAACUCGAUGGUUUAUAGAAUCCAUUUUAUAAAUCGUCACGUGUGCAUCUUUCAUACGUAUGGGAUUAUCCUCAGAUAUUGCCUCCAUUAAUUAUGUCAAAGAAAAGGAAUUUAUCUUGUGAUAAAUGGAAGAGGUUGAAGACUA
Triticum aestivum (bread wheat) is the source of this 2675-nucleotide long non-coding RNA. RefSeq lists it as uncharacterized. The record is from RefSeq and is a predicted model, not a curated record. The transcript is spliced from 2 exons. NCBI's taxonomy places the organism in Eukaryota, Viridiplantae, Streptophyta, Magnoliopsida, Poales, Poaceae.